UACGUAGGGUGCAAGCGUUAAUCGGAAUUACUGGGCGUAAAGCGUGCGCAGGCGGUUUUGUAAGUUUGUCGUGAAAGCCCCGGGCUCAACCUGGGAAUGGCGAUGAAGACUGCAAGGCUUGAAUCUGGCAGAGGGGGGUAGAAUUCCACGUGUAGCAGUGAAAUGCGUAGAGAUGUGGAGGAACACCGAUGGCGAAGGCAGCCCCCUGGGUCAAGAUUGACGCUCAUGCACGAAAGCGUGGGGAGCAAACAG
This 252-nucleotide ribosomal RNA is filed under the name uncultured bacterium. RNAcentral's name for it is "partial 16S ribosomal RNA". It matches the Rfam family "Bacterial small subunit ribosomal RNA", at positions 524 to 775 of the family's 1533-position model. The record is from RNAcentral.